RNAcentral lists this ribosomal RNA (305 nucleotides) under uncultured bacterium. RNAcentral describes it as "bacterial SSU rRNA". It matches the Rfam family "Bacterial small subunit ribosomal RNA", at positions 337 to 655 of the family's 1533-position model. The record is from RNAcentral.
GCCUACGGGGGGCAGCAGUGAGGAAUAUUGGUCAAUGGCCGUAAGGCUGAACCAGCCAAGUCGCGGGAAGGAAGAAGGAUCUAUGGUUUGUAAACUUCUAUCAACAGGGACGAAAGAAAUGACGGUACCUGAAUAAGAAGCCCCGGCUAACUACGUGCCAGCAGCCGCGGUAAUACGUAGGGGGCAAGCGUUAUCCGGAAUUACUGGGUGUAAAGGGUGAGUAGGCGGCAUGGUAAGCCAGAUGUGAAAGCCUUGGGCUUAACCCGAGGAUUGCAUUUGGAACUAUCAAGCUAGAGUACAGGAGA